Molecule: ribosomal RNA, 680 nt
Filed under: uncultured bacterium
Lineage: Bacteria
Description: bacterial SSU rRNA
Rfam family: Bacterial small subunit ribosomal RNA
Source: RNAcentral
GGGACCAUUCCACGGUUUCCGUGUCGCAGCUAACGCAUUAAGCGCCCCGCCUGGGGAGUACGGCCGCAAGGCUAAAACUCAAAGGAAUUGACGGGGGCCCGCACAAGCGGCGGAGCAUGCGGAUUAAUUCGAUGCAACGCGAAGAACCUUACCAAGGCUUGACAUAUACGAGAACGCUCUAGAAAUAGAGAACUCUUUGGACACUCGUAUACAGGUGGUGCAUGGUUGUCGUCAGCUCGUGUCGUGAGAUGUUGGGUUAAGUCCCGCAACGAGCGCAACCCUCGUUCUAUGUUGCCAGCGGUUCGGCCGGGAACUCAUAGGAGACUGCCGGGGUCAACUCGGAGGAAGGUGGGGAUGACGUCAAAUCAUCAUGCCCCUUAUGUCUUGGGCUUCACGCAUGCUACAAUGGCCGGUACAAAGGGCUGCAAUACCGUAAGGUGGAGCGAAUCCCAAAAAGCCGGUCUCAGUUCGGAUUGAGGUCUGCAACUCGACCUCAUGAAGUCGGAGUCGCUAGUAAUCGCAGAUCAGCAACGCUGCGGUGAAUACGUUCCCGGGCCUUGUACACACCGCCCGUCAAGUCAUGAAAGUCGGUAACACCCGAAGCCGGUGGCCCAACCCUUGUGGAGGGAGCCGUCGAAGGUGGGAUCGGUGAUUAGGACUAAGUCGUAACAAGGUAGCCG